GACAGAGGGGGCAAGCGUUGCUCGGAAUUACUGGGCGUAAAGGGCGCGUAGGCGGGAUGGCAAGUCGGUCGUGAAAUCCCUCGGCUCAACUGAGGAUCGUCGAUCGAUACUGCCGUUCUUGAGGAUUGCAGAGGAGACUGGAAUUCCCGGUGUAGCGGUGAAAUGUGUAGAGAUCGGGAGGAACACCGGUGGCGAAGGCGGGUCUCUGGGCAAUUCCUGACGCUGAGGCGCGAAAGCCAGGGGAGCAAACGGG
Molecule: ribosomal RNA, 253 nt
Filed under: uncultured bacterium
Lineage: Bacteria
Description: partial 16S ribosomal RNA
Rfam family: Bacterial small subunit ribosomal RNA
Source: RNAcentral